GUCACAUCAUAUGAAAGUCAGGUUGUCCAACUUCUCUUGGAAAAUGGGAUAUCCUGGGCCUGAGACUCCUUCACAGAAGGAGUUGAGCAGUGCCUGCCUCUUCUGGUAGGAUAUAAGGUCCCUCGUUGGACACUCGUCAGUCCACUCCCUAAUACCAAACCUGGCUGACAUCACUCGCUGACUUUCAUGGCUUCUGACCCCUACCCAGAGAGAGAAGAAAACCAGCUGGAGUAGAGCUGGAGGAGCUCAGGGGGAAGACAGAGAGGAUGAGGAUCAACAAACAGAAACCAGGACAGGAACCAUUCCAAGGAUGAGGUGGGGAUGGGAGUGCUAAAGGAAUAGUAAUUUUGGGAGGAGAGACUUAUAUCCCCUCAAUGACUACACCUCUCCAAAGAAGCAGAGACAGGGAGUUAAGGAAACAUGCCACACCCGUUGCAGGCCUGAAAUUGGUCCUGUAACACACUGGUAAGGGUGUGCAGAGUAGGAGGCUUGACGGCCUUGCAGUCCUAGGCCCAGCACGGGAUUCUCCCAAACAUCCAGCUCCCGCUGCUGUGAAUGGUGACAGCAUAAUGCUUUUACAGAGAAGUUGCUCCAUUUGCUUAUGUCCCUAAUGGAACCCAACUGCCAAAAAAGUUAACAACAACGGUGUUUAGAGCAAUCACUUUGGUCCACGUUGAAGGGUCACACUUAAAACUUGCCUCACCUCAACUAACCUUCUGCCUGACUGUGGUCCAAAUGAGAAAGUCAGCCAAAAAGGAAAAUAAUGUGACUUCGUGGAAGAUUCUGAACACAUUUACCAAAGGAAGUAGAACAUUUACUGGGGCCAACAAAAGCACUUUAUAAGCUGCAGAGUGUGAGUGAGGGCCCGGGGCAGAAAGUCUGAUUCCACCCGAAAUGCAGGCCUCACCCUGGAGAGUAGGAGACGGGUCAAGGACUCCCAGAGUCACUUUGUAUUCUCCUUCCUUCUGCGGCCCUCCUGGAAGUGGAGCUGAACUAGAGGGUACAGAAGGACUCAAAGGCACACCUGGCCCUGAGAAUGAGAUGCCAGCUCCACAAUUCUUCCCACGUUGCGGAGGAGGAGCAGGGAGAUACCAAUGCAGGCACAGGGGAGCAACGGAGCCACUUGUCAAGCUGCUGUCAGGUACAGGACUGAUCACUUCUUGUGAGGCUUUGCUAUACCUGAGAAGGCUUUGGUUUUGAGUUGUCAAAAGUUCCAGACGACAGAAUUUAAACUAACCCUGUGUAAUUGUAAUUCUUGAAAUAACAGGAUCCAAAUAUACUUUGAAACUCCUUAAAAUGUAAGCCAUGACUAACGUAUUUUUUUUCUUCUUUCAAACUCUGUGUGAGACCAUCAGAAGAGGCCUAGUUAUAUAGAGAAAUUAGUCUAAUAACAUUUUCCUCCAGGAACCAGAGAACCCUGCAUUUUCUACCUAAUGGCUGGGAUUUGGCUGACGGGUAAACAAAACGACCUUCUUCUUUCAUUCAAUUUCAGAACUUCAACAAAAGGCAGACCAAGUCAGCCGCUGACGCUGCCAAGCCAGAAGGAAAGGAAACGAAGCCACAGGACAUUCCCGUCAAUAUUCCAGGGAGACAGUCCUAAAGGGGAAGAAGGCUUUUUAUGGUUCUAAAGAGUCCUGGGGAGGGAGGCAAAGAAAGUGCACAGGACACAAAACAGAGUAUGGUUCAACUGCCAAGAUGGCCAACCUCACCAUGGGCACCCAGCCUGAAGGCCACCCAGGGCUAACAAAUGCUGGCCCAAUGUGUGUGUGUAUGGCAGUUGUGUCUUGUACAACUGCUACAGGUAGAGUCUGACCCACUUGCGAAGCUCAGUCACCAACCUUGUUCUUUCAUUUCCCUUCAUACUAGCUAAGGUGGGGAGGCACAGAUCUGAGCCAGUAGCACCCUCCAGCUCAGAGCGGCGAUGACACAGGGAGAAGGCUGGGCAUGUGACUUGGCAGGUGAGGCAACAUGGGAGGAGAGGGGGAGUAGAGCCUUGACCCCUUGUUAAUAACUCACUUUCCCACAGAAGGAAGAGGCAGAUAUGUAUCUGAGUGAGGCUGAACACAGUCCACUGGAGCGGGAUGGGGCUGGCAGGAAGGGGAGGACAUGCAAUGGAUUUCCUAAGUAGCUCUGGGAAAGCUAAGUGCAAUCUUCCCGAGUUCAGGCUCUGAAACAGAAUGGUGCUGCUGUGGCGCACAGGACGCGCCAGGAGGGAGAAGAACUGCUCCAGUGUGCUCAGAUCAGAUCUGGAUGGAAUUCAUAGCACACUGCACGGCUACAGCAAUGGACGACCCUGUCAGGUGUCUAGACUGGUUUGGGAAGUGGCAGCUGCACGAGUGAGGAAGGUGGAGAAAAGAUGGGAGCAGUUUUUGUAAAUGUUACACCUUAAUAGGUGGGAGCCAGAUUAAAUACCCUAGUAUUGCACCUGGUAUUAGUUUAAGUGUUUCAAAUGCAUUCUAUAUAACCCUUAGGGAAACUAUGAUUGUUAAUCCCAUUUUACAGAUUAGGAAACUGUGAAUAGACCCAUUCACAACCUGCCCAGGCCACAUGGUUUGGGAGUGGUGGAGCUGGAAUCGGAGUCCAGGUCUGCCUGACACUAGAAGCCUUUGCUCUCCACCAGUAUGUCUCAAUUCUUCCUGAGGUGACCAAUCUUAUCAUUUGGAUUCUGGCUUAAAGAGCAGAGAAAGAGACUUAGGUUGAGAGGAAUCCUGGCAGACACUGAGGACUUCCCCUGAGGAUCCAUAGCACUUGGUGGGUUUCCUUAGCUAGCACUUCCUGGGGAACCAGUCUCCUGGCCCAUGUGACAUUCUUUCCCCCUUGGUUUUGUGGACUGCAUAAGAGACCAAAUGGGCACUAAAAGAAGGAGGAGAAAAAUAAUAGUCUUGGGGAGAACCUGAGGAAUCUUUCAGUCUGACCACCUGACUUCAACACCCAGGGUCUCUCUGUUGCAGAAGAAAGGGCACUGUUAAUAUUUUCAAGUGCCUGAAGAGCUGUUGGCCAGAAAAGGGACUGGGCAGCUUUAUAUCAGAGACGUUAAGUUCAGGGCAUAGAAGUUAAAGGAGGCAUAUGUAAAUAUGCCACAAAGAAAAUAAAAGCAAGUUUUAAAAAAACACUCAAGGCCAUUAAGUGAUGCAAAGAGCUUUCCUAGGAGGAACGUGACUUUUAUUGGAAAGAUUUACAGGAGAACCUGACUGGCCCUCAGGUGUCAGGUAGGUGCCCUUGAUGGUCUAUGCCGAUAUCAAGAUUCUAGGAUCUUAUCCUGUUUCCUCAGUCUGCCUCUGUCCUUCAUUAAAACUCUGGGAGAAAAGAGCUGACAUUUUGAAGAUGACUGUACCUCCUUGAGCCACAGACACCUUAUGUUCUUUGGGUGUGAAGUAGAUUUUUCUUUAUAAAAAAAUAAAAUAAAACUUGUUCAA
This is a long non-coding RNA of Marmota monax (woodchuck), 3416 nucleotides long. RefSeq lists it as uncharacterized. The record is from RefSeq and is a predicted model, not a curated record. The transcript is spliced from 2 exons. NCBI's taxonomy places the organism in Eukaryota, Metazoa, Chordata, Mammalia, Rodentia, Sciuridae.